UACGUAGGGGGCGAGCGUUGUCCGGAUUUACUGGGCGUAAAGCGCGUGUAGGCGGGAGAUUAAGUUGGGUGUGAAAGCCCGGGGCUCAACCCCGGGAUGCCGCCCAAGACUGGUCUCCUUGAGGACGGAAGAGGGGAGUGGAAUUCCUGGUGUGGCGGUGAAAUGCGUAGAGAUCAGGAGGAACACCCGUGGCGAAGGCGGCUCCCUGGUCCGUUUCUGACGCUGAGACGCGAAAGCGCGGGGAGCGAACGGG
RNAcentral lists this ribosomal RNA (253 nucleotides) under uncultured bacterium. RNAcentral describes it as "partial 16S ribosomal RNA". It matches the Rfam family "Bacterial small subunit ribosomal RNA", at positions 524 to 776 of the family's 1533-position model. The record is from RNAcentral.